AGCUCUGUGUACAUAGUCCAAGAGAUUUAACUUCAAGAAAAAAUUAUGUUCAAGUCAGGAGAAAAUAGCUGAUUGAGAAACAUUGACGAUAAAUUCCCAAUACUACUAAGGAAAAUGUCACUACAAAGUGAAGCAAACCUGGCUGAGAGUGUCAAGAUGGCAGACAGGACAGGUAAGUUUUGGUGGGACUGGCAGGCACUUGGACAUCAGCCAGAAGGUACAGGCUUUCUGGAGGUAACCUCCAUUCCAGAAAUAUGUGGUGUUGUAGAAAGAAAUAUCAACCAAAGGAAGGGGACUAUUCAAACUGCGAGUACCUCAGAAAACUACUCUGAUACCUCCUCAAUCUCACCCCCUGGCUGGGUUACCAAAACCCUCUCAGUUGUCAGAUCUAAUAGACACUCUUCAUACGUUGUCGGAUGCAACUUUUGAGUGAAAUUUUAAGUGUUUAUUUAUUUAUUUGAGGAGAGAGAGAGAAAGAGAGAGAGUACAAAUAGGGGAGGGCAGAGAGAGAGAAGGAGAGAGAGAACCCCCAACAGGCUCCCUACUGUCAGGGCAGAGCCUGACACAGGGCUGGAACUCAGGAACUGUGAGAUCACUACCUGAGCUGAAAUCAAGAGUCGGAGGCUUAACCAACUGAGCCACCCAGGUGCCACUGAGUGAAAUUUCAUGCUGUGGACCAGCCCUUCCUUUUAGAAACCCCUCAUUCCUUGGCCUCUGGUGCUUACUUCUUUACUGGAUUCCUUCUGCCUCACUCUAGCUCCUUCUCAGGUUCCACGGCUUCUUCUCUGGACUCCAUCACGUCUUUGUUUUUCUCAUUUUACAUGCUUCUGGAUGAAAAGUGAUGGGGUCCUCAAUAGCUCCAGCAGCAGUGGGGAUAAAGAGGACAUACAACGUGAAGGCUGAUUGGAGGAGCUUUCCAACUCACUCAAGUCAAACAUCAGGAGAGGAAGCAGCCCCUGAGCUCCCUUCCUCCCCAGCCAGCCCACCCUUGCAUUAGAGCCAGAAGUCCCAUAGUUCUGCCGGAAUAUCUUUGCCAGCCCUUUCCCUUAUCCCACGGUCAUUUAGUGGUGGAUUUAUUUGCCUUUCCCCCUAGACCGUGAGGUCCUUGGUACCUCCAGAGUCUGACACAUUGCAGUCAUCCUGUUACUGAGUAAAGGAAUGAGGUACUUAAAAUAUGUACAAAUAAAAAUGUAGCACAAGUUGCCAUAUAUACUUAAAAUGAGCUUCCCUAAGAUGCUCAAAUGCUGGGCGUGGUAUCAAAGUUCAAAUUUCUCACGGACCAUAGAGCAAGUGAAAACACCAUCCUUCAA
This is a long non-coding RNA of Neofelis nebulosa (Clouded leopard), 1310 nucleotides long. RefSeq lists it as uncharacterized. The record is from RefSeq and is a predicted model, not a curated record. The transcript has 2 exons. NCBI's taxonomy places the organism in Eukaryota, Metazoa, Chordata, Mammalia, Carnivora, Felidae.